RNAcentral lists this ribosomal RNA (253 nucleotides) under uncultured bacterium. RNAcentral's name for it is "partial 16S ribosomal RNA". It matches the Rfam family "Bacterial small subunit ribosomal RNA", at positions 524 to 776 of the family's 1533-position model. The record is from RNAcentral.
UACGUAGGGGGCAAGCGUUGUCCGGAUUUAUUGGGCGUAAAGAGCGUGUAGGCGGCCAGACAGGUCAGCUGUGAAAACUCGAGGCUCAACCUCGAGACGUCGGUUGAAACCGUCUGGCUAGAGUCCGGAAGAGGAGAGUGGAAUUCCCGGCGUAGCGGUGAAAUGCGCAGAUAUCGGGAAGAACACCCGUGGCGAAGGCGGCUCUCUGGGACGGUACUGACGCUGAGACGCGAAAGCGUGGGGAGCGAACAGG